AUAAGCCCCUCUGUUAACUUUUGUUCAAGCCUGUCUAGAUCUUUUAUCAGUCUAGAAAGAUGUUGGAGAAAAGACAUCAUCCUCUUCUAUAAUCUCCAUCUGUAAUUGGACUAACAACUGGACCAGUGAAUGCAGGCAACUUACUCUCCAUUCGACCUUGCAGGUCACACCAUGGUCUCAAGAGGGAAAAUGAGUGCUCUAUGGAUUGAACAGAAAAGAUUAAUCAAAACUCCAACCAUCUGUAUGAGGGUCUGGAUGGAUAAAGGAUGCCCACUGGAGCUGGAAAUGAUGGAUCAGGUGGAUCCACACUUGAACCAUCUGUAUGAUGAUCUGCACCCACUGGAUCUGUAAAUGGUGGUGCAGGUUUCUGAAUUGAUGUCAGAUGCAAAGCAGAAGCUUAUUUUCUGCCAGUUUGGCUUCAUUGUGGAAAAAUGCUUGAAACUAAAAUGCAGAAUUCUGGCCUGGUGUUUGGUCCCCCUUUCUCUGGCUUGUGUCUCCAUCAUCAUUACACUCUUGUCAGUGUAAUAGUAUCGUCGUCUGCGUACCAGGACUUUGUUACUCAGCUGUCCCUUCUCCUUCAAGCUACAUUUUUGUCAAGCUGCAACAAGUUGGAAUACAUAAUUAUUAACGUUUAAUGAUUUUGAUGUAUGAAAUAUGUAACAAAAGCAAAAAAUGUAUAGACAUUCUAUUAAGAAAUUACCUUUUUGUUGUUUGUUUACUGACCUUUCAACCAUAUUGCAUUUAUAAUUGAUCAUCAUACCUUUGGUCUACUGUUAACAGGCUACUGUAGAAAACAAAGUCAAACAAAAAAGAGAGAAAAAAUUAUAAAUGCUGAAUGUGUCUCAUCUUAAAUACAUUGUUGUUGUUUUUGUUUCAUUGAAUUUGCAUGUUUUGAUGAUUUAAGGAAAAUUUACGUAGCAUAUAUAUUGAUGUUUUAAAUCAGAGUUUGUUAAUGACACUUAAUCAUUAACAAACAUUUAAAAAGCUUUAUUACAAUACUAAUUGAUAAUAUUAAUGUAAUAAUAUUGUUUUGUAACACCCUAAAUCACUGAGCGCACAAACGCUACCCCUGUUACAAGCAUGAGUGGUUGACUUCAUGCAGACAUGCGCAGACAUUGAAGUACCGCGAGAGUGAUUCAAAAGCCCACGAAACAGUGUAAUCACGCGGUACUGUGAUGUCAUACUGGUUAACGCUAAGCCACGUGAAGCCGGACACAAGGGCUACACUAAUCUUUGGGCUGGAGUAGCCUGUGGUUUUUAAGGCUUCGUGUCUCAUCGCGUUAAACGAUCGCAGAACGAUUUAUUUCUCUUUUUCACCUCGAUCUUUGGCCUCGUGUGAUUUACCAAAACCAACAUGUGAAGUUACAACGCUGACGAAGGAGUUUCAUCAGUAGAGUGUGUCCUGGUAAACGUGUGCUCGGAAACAUGCAGAUUACAGUAUUUACAGAGCCGACCUUGAGUCACCCACUGAUGGA
Molecule: long non-coding RNA, 1475 nt
Organism: Paramisgurnus dabryanus
Lineage: Eukaryota; Metazoa; Chordata; Actinopteri; Cypriniformes; Cobitidae
Source: RefSeq, a predicted model, not a curated record